UUGAAUGAAUCUAGAGUUGGUUGUCGCUGGCCCCCCCCUAAAUAAUAAUAUUGUUGGGGGCAUGUGCACGCCUUCUCUUUUCAUCCACACACACCUGUGCACUUGUGAGAUGGAUGGAUUGUAAAAGUCCUCCAUCUACUUAAUCACACAAACUCAUCCUACUUAAACUGAAUGUAAUUGAUGUAACACAUCAUUUGAAC
This 200-nucleotide unclassified non-coding RNA is filed under the name uncultured Ceratobasidiaceae. RNAcentral describes it as "sequence contains ITS1". The record is from RNAcentral. Lineage: Eukaryota; Fungi; Basidiomycota; Agaricomycetes; Cantharellales; Ceratobasidiaceae.